GCUUCAGGCGACUCUAUCGCGGCUUCGGCUUUGGUCGGAGAUGAGGAAAGUCCGGACAACGUAGAGCACCACACCAUCUAACGGAUGGGGCUUUGUCCCGAUUUAUCGGGUGUGAAGUACAGAUAGUGUCACAGAAAAUAACCGCCACGAUUCCGAUUUAUCGGGAUCAGGUAAGGGUGAAAACGUGUGGUAAGAGCACACGACGUUCCCGGGUAACCGGGAGGGUGGAUAAACCUUGUGGGUUGAAAUGCCACAUACAUUCCGGCUCUUUCUCCCGUUUUUUCGGGUAGAAAGACUUUGGUUGCUCGCCGAAGGCAUUGCACCGGAAGGGGUAGGCAGCUUGAGCCUGGCUUUUUCUUCGGAAGAGGACAGGACUAGAUAAAUGAUAGAGCCCCCUAUUUCCUUUGGGAGACCGGGGAGACAGAAUCCGGCUUAUACGCCUGAAGCGGAU
Molecule: RNase P RNA, 451 nt
Filed under: Saprospiraceae bacterium
Lineage: Bacteria; Pseudomonadati; Bacteroidota; Saprospiria; Saprospirales; Saprospiraceae
Description: RNase P RNA component class A
Rfam family: Bacterial RNase P class A
About the family: Ribonuclease P (RNase P) is a ubiquitous endoribonuclease, found in archaea, bacteria and eukarya as well as chloroplasts and mitochondria.
Source: RNAcentral